CUUCCUCCUUCUCCUCUUCCUCCUCCUCCUCCUUCUUUUUCCCCCUUCUUCUCUUCCUCCUCUUCCUCAUUCUUCUCCCUCUCCUUCUCCUCCUCCUCCUUUUCAUUCUCCUCUUCUUCCUCUUCUUCCUCUUCCCCUUUUUCUUCUUUCUCUUUCUUUUAAAAAUAUUCUUUGCUUAUUUUAAGAUCAGAGGAGCAAAAGAAUCCUAGUUUAAUCCAAAAUGCCCAAUUUACAAAUGAGGAAACCAAAGUCAAAUGACAUUAAGAGACUCACCUAGGUAAAUGUCAUGAGGGUUUUGAACCCAGAGCCUCUGAUCUUCAAGCCAGUGUGUUCUUUUCUCUCUACCACCCUGGCUCUCCUUCUAUAGUCUGAUAUUCCAAGUGUGAGAAUAAUUAAUCUGGUAAUUUAAAAAAGAGCCACUGGCAGCUCUAGGAGAUCAGAUGCCCAUAUUACCUCCUAUUUGGGGUUCUGCUCUCUCCCUUUUAUGUCUUGCUAUAGCUGACAAGCACCUCAGUUGCCUUAUUCCUCAGAGGGAACUAAUUGGAGGUUCUAUAUUCAGGUGAUGCUGUUUGGGCUGAUGAGGGGCUGAUGCUGUUUGGGCUGAUGAGGGGCUGAUGCUGUUUGGGCUGAUGAGGGGCUGAUGCUGUUUGGGCUGAUGAGGGGCUGAUGCUGUUUGGGCUGAUGAGGGGCUGCUGGGGAAGUGAGUAGGGAAGCAGUUCCUUCCUGCCCCUCUGCCCUUUUAUCCCUCCCUCCCCAGCUUCUUUUGGGGUCCAGAUGGCGAUGUGGCUCCGGCUCCAGGCGGUUGGCACACGAGCCAGCUGUGUGUCUGAUUAACAAGAGGGGCUGGCAGAUGCGGCUUAUCUCGAGAGCACACAAAGGCACAGGGUUGGGCAGUUCUCCUCCCUACGGCUGUCUUCAAAUUGGAAAGGGAUCUCUGAAAUGUGGUGCCAUUUUCUACUCCAGCCCUUCGGAACGCUCAGCCCCAUAAGAUGCUUCAUUGUCUGCUGGCUUUGCCUUUAAUGGUAUUUUAUUUUUUUUUUCAAUUACACGUAAAGAGAGUUUUCAACAUUCAUUUCUGUAAGAUUCUGUAAGAUUCCAAAUUUGUCUCCCUCCAUCCUUUUCUUCUCCCCUCCCUAAGACAAAAUGAUUCAUGUUCUGGCAGAUUAUUUGAACAGUAUAGAGGACUCUUCCUCCUAAAAAAAAGGAUGGGUUCUUUCUAAAGGUGCUGAUGGAGAGGUGAGAUGCACUAAGCCUCAUGGGUGACUUCCAAGCCCUUGGCUUGCCCAAGGACACAGAGGAGCAGAACAAGCCUGAUUCAGCUGGCUGUCCCUCCUGCUCUUUGUAGGGAUGUGGGGAGUGGGUUGGAUAUUCCCUCCAUCAGUGCCGAUCAGCACCUGCUUUUCCAGAGCCUUAUGGAGCUUUCUGGUGCACUAGGUUAGGUGGCUCAGAUGCAUUCUGCUCUCUAUCCGCUAUUAUAAAUAUUUUUCAUGAAUAAUAAUAUCGUGUGACAGGUUCAUUAAAGAAUUAUAAAACCAUAUGCUGCGUGCAAUCUGAGGAGGAAGCUUCUUAGCUAGGUGGUGAAUUGGAUGGAGUGCUGAAAAGGAUCU
This is a long non-coding RNA of Sarcophilus harrisii (Tasmanian devil), 1607 nucleotides long. The record is from Ensembl. NCBI's taxonomy places the organism in Eukaryota, Metazoa, Chordata, Mammalia, Dasyuromorphia, Dasyuridae.